CGGUUGAUCCUGCCGGACCCUACUGCUAUCGGGGUGGGACUAAGACAUGCGAGUUGAGCGUCUCUAAAGCUUGGUGAGACGCGGCAGACGGCUCAGUAACGCGCGGCCAACCUACCCUUAGGACGCGGACAACCCCGGGAAACUGGGGCUAGUCCGCUAUAGACUAGGAAGCCAGGAAUGGUUCCUAGUCGAAAAGACGUUGAAACCCAUGCUUUUCGACGUCGCCUAAGGAUGGGGCCGCGCCCGAUCAGGUUGUUGGUGAGGUAACGGCUCACCAAGCCUAUAACCGGUACGGGCCGUGAGAGCGGGAGCCCGGAGAUGGGCACUGAGACAAGGGCCCAGGCCCUACGGGGCGCAGCAGUCGCGAAAACUCCGCAAUGCGCGAAAGCGUGACGGGGCUACCCCGAGUGCCGUCCGCUGAGGAUGGCUUUUCCCCGGUGUAAUGAGCCGGGGGAAUAAGGAGAGGGCAAGUCUGGUGUCAGCCGCCGCGGUAAUACCAGCUCUCCGAGUGGUAGGGAUGAUUAUUGGGCUUAAAGCGUCCGUAGCCGGCUUAGCAAGUCUCCUGUUAAAUUCAGCGACCUAAUCGUUGAGCCGCGGGAGAUACUGCUAGGCUAGGAGGCGGGAGAGGCCGACGGUAUUCUCGGGGUAGGGGUGAAAUCCUAUAAUCCCGGGAGGACCACCAGUGGCGAAGGCUGUCGGCUAGAACGCGCUCGACGGUGAGGGACGAAAGCUGGGGGAGCGAACCGGAUUAGAUACCCGGGUAGUCCCAGCUGUAAACGAUGCGGGCUAGGUGUUGGGGUGGCUACGAGCCACUUCAGUGCCGCAGGGAAGCCAUUAAGCCCGCCGCCUGGGGAGUACGGCCGCAAGGCUGAAACUUAAAGGAAUUGGCGGGGGAGCAC
This 899-nucleotide ribosomal RNA is filed under the name uncultured archaeon. RNAcentral describes it as "bacterial SSU rRNA". It matches the Rfam family "Archaeal small subunit ribosomal RNA", at positions 5 to 879 of the family's 1478-position model. The record is from RNAcentral.